RNAcentral lists this long non-coding RNA (199 nucleotides) under Elaeis guineensis (African oil palm). RNAcentral describes it as "long non-coding RNA (EGUI_LNC006401)". Lineage: Eukaryota; Viridiplantae; Streptophyta; Magnoliopsida; Arecales; Arecaceae. The record is from RNAcentral.
AAAAAAAAAAAAAAGUAGAUGUACUCUCCUUUGGAACGAUCAAAAUUUUGGGGAAAAGAAGAUAUUUACUUCUUUCGACUGCAACGUGAACAACAGGACAUCCAAUCAAAGAUUCAUGCUGUUGAUGGUGGCUUUUAUUGCGAAAGAUGUUUAGAAUCAAAAAAAUCAUAUAUUACAAUAAUCACUUAUUUAUAAGCCG